GUCUGCUCUGGGACUUGGAACAAAAGGGGAAACUCUGAUGAACUCCUUCUCCAGCUCCCUGGACGCCCGAGUAUCUCUUUCUCGCAACUUUGUCAACGCGACUUUCUCCGCUGUCAGGCUGCGCAAAAGUAUCCUAGCGCCUCGCAGGCUGCAACAAUGGAAACAAUGUCCCUUCAAAGUGCGACGAAGUGGAGGGAGAAGGUGUCAUACCAGCGACUCCAAGAGUCAUGUCACCCACUUAGCAGGAGUACUUCUACUGAAAUGCCUUCGAAUUUCUCUUACUGGAUAUAUACCUACCAGCCGCUAGCAUGAAGAUGCCAGGACCGCUGCAAGUUAGCACUGGACAAAGUAGCAUCAACUUCUUCAUUUAGAGUUUCUUCAGUUAAAUUGCUGGGAUUUUCGACAAGGCUUUCCUUAUGUGGAUUAUUGGAGUGUGAUGCCCGAGAAUUCUCUACUUGUAGAAGCACGCCCACGGGACUGCAGAAGCCUUCACACCCACCCAGCACGCUCAGAUCAUCCAGUAACCAACCCAGGAAGUUCUUGUAAGCAUGCAUUUCUUAGUCAACACUGAAUGCCUUUAGACCGAGGUCAACCUUUUCAGCUGGUACCGUGGUUUACACUGCUGAUGGGAAUGAGUGAUGGCCAUCCAGUGACCAGCUGGAUCUGACUGCCUUACAAGACGCAUGUGUAUGAUUAAGAGAGAGACAUUCGUGACUCCCAGAUGUACCUCCUUCCUGUCCCACAGUGUUCCUGAAGGGAGUGAGUUAUGGGGUAACUUAUAACACAGCAGGCUCUUCCUCAAGAUAGCUCUUGUCAAAACAGGAAGACGAAACUCGGGUUUCCAUGAGGAGACCACAGCUUGGGAUCCUGUCUGGAUGUACAAGCAGAAGCAUCUUCAUACUUUUCCAUUUCUAACCAUCAUGCCUCACCCCACCCUCCCAAGGCGACAUCUGCAGAGAGUUUUCAGGAUGUGUUCCUGAGUCUCGUGAGUAGCACAUGGCAGUUGUUGUCACCUUGGGCUGAGCCGUGAAGAUUCUCACCCUCCCUUGUUGGGGAUGAACUCCGGGAUUCUAAGGAGAGGUCAGCAGGUGUUUCACAGACUGUUCCUGUUGGAGGAUUUGUCUGAUACUCUUCUCCUGAUUAGUCUGGGCUCUACAUUUCCCCAAGGGUGAAACUUGGAAGCCCUCUCCAGGAUGCAGCAGGUAGCUGAGGAGAAAACGAAGACUGACCAGCCCAGAGCUCAGAGCUUCCUCCCAUGCUCAGGAUUUACCACCAAUGCCAUUACAUCGGCCUCUUCUUGUAUGCCUCUGGAAACCACAUGUGUCCUCUGUUUGUAAUGGUUUGGCUAUGGUUGCUGGCCCCUCUUGGACAUUGUUUUCAGAACUUAAAGAAACAUUGCUUUAAAGAUUUAUUAGAACAUAUUUAAAAUAAAACCAUCUUCUCAUUUAGUA
This 1451-nucleotide long non-coding RNA is filed under the name Mus musculus (house mouse). RNAcentral describes it as "RIKEN cDNA 2610307P16 gene". Lineage: Eukaryota; Metazoa; Chordata; Mammalia; Rodentia; Muridae. The record is from RNAcentral.